GAUUAUGAACUCGACUUGUCGUUGCGGAGGUAAUCCAGGUAGUUCUUCUAGGAAAAUGUCGGGGAAGUCGCUCACUACUGGGAUGUUCUUUAGUUCUUUCGUUUCUAGAUUCGUGUCGACGACGUGAGCAAGGAAUGCGUGGUAUUCUUUGCGCAGGUAUUUCUAUGCUUGAAUACUCGAUAUAAUGCGAAGACUCGCACCAGGUUUGUCGCCGUAGACUAUAAGAGUUUCAUUAGACGGGAGGUUUAAACGGACUGCUUUCUCGUAGCACAUGAUGUCGGCGCGAUGAAGACUUAACCAAUCCAUGCCGAUAAUAACAUCGAAACUUUUUAUUGAGACCGGCAUAAGGUCGAUUGGGAAUGAAUGGUUAUCUAAAGUUAGGGUACAACCUAAGUAUAUGUUAUUUGUACUUUCAGUUUUCCCAUUGGCCAUUUCUACUGUGAAUUGUUCAUUAAGUGCGUGUGGUUGUUGCUUAAGCAUGCGAGCAAAUUUGUGGUUUACGAAGCUUCGCUCCGCUCCACUAUCGAACAGAAUGCAUGCAUAGGAGUUAUCAAGGAGGAACGUACCAGUCACCACUGUCGGGUCAGCAACUGCUUCCCCGUGGCCUAUAGCUAGUACCCUCCCUACUCCUCCAGCAUUCCUCGCUUUGGGGCAGUCCCUUUUAAAGUGGCCUGUUUCGCCACAUCCAUAGCAAGUUGGGCUCGCGCCUGAGCCAGGAACUUGGGAGAUCGGUUGUGCCGGGAACUUACAGAAACGGACGGUGUGUCCUUUUCUGUUGCAGUUAGAACACUGCAUUUCACGGCAGGCGCCGUUGUGGUGGAAGUUGCAUUUGUUGCACUUCGGCAAACUUCCAGCAUACUGCUUCCCCGGAGCAGUAACANNNNNNNNNNNNNNNNNNNNNNNNNNNNNNNNNNNNNNNNNNNNNNNNNNNNNNNNNNNNNNNNNNNNNNNNNNNNNNNNNNNNNNNNNNNNNNNNNNNNNNNNNNNNNNNNNNNNNNNNNNNNNNNNNNNNNNNNNNNNNNNNNNNNNNNNNNNNNNNNNNNNNNNNNNNNNNNNNNNNNNNNNNNNNNNNNNNNNNNNNNNNNNNNNNNNNNNNNNNNNNNNNNNNNNNNNNNNNNNNNNNNNNNNNNNNNNNNNNNNNGAAUGUUGUAGUGAUUGCCAAAAUCUUGAGGUGAACCUACUAUCUCUAUCGGAGAUAAUGGACAUAGGUACACCAUGUAGCCGUACGAUUUCCCUAAUGUAUGUUCUCGUAAGCUUCUCCAUCUUGUCGGUUUCUUUGAUAGGCAGGAAGUGUGCAGACUUGGUCAAUCUAUCAACGAUGACCCAUAUGGUGUCAAGUCCACCCGUUGUCUUGGGCAACUUGGUUAUGAAAUCCAUAGUGAUCCGCUCCCACUUCCAUUCCGGGAUCUCUGGUUGCUGCAAUAAACCAGAGGGCUUCUGGUACUCGACCUUAACCUUUGCGCAAGUAAGGCAUUUACUUACGAAGGUAGCAAUCUCUGCUUUCAUAUUAGGCCACCAGUAUAGCUUCUUAAGAUCCAGAUACAUCUUAUCUGAACCUGGGUGGACGGAAUACCGAGUGUUGUGCGCCUCGGUCAUGACCAAGUCUCGGAAACCACCAUGUUUCGGUGUCCAGAUCCGGUUCAUGAAAUAUAAAGCUCCGUCACCCUUGGCUUCUAAAUUCUUGUCCAUUCCUCUAAGGGAUUCACUUGACACAUUUUCAGAUUUCAUGGCCUCAAGUUGAGCCGCCUGAAUUUGCUUAGUCAGGUGUGAAUGGAUGGUUAUCGAUAAUGACUUGACUUUGCGACCAGAAUAUUCCUUCCGACUUAGGGCGUCUGCUACUACGUUGGCUUUACCCGGAUGAUAACGAAUAUCGCAUUCGUAAUCACUGAGUAGCUCGACCCACCGUCGUUGUCUCAUGUUGAGCUCCUUUUGAUCGAAAAUGUGUUGUAAACUCUUGUGGUCGGUAAAGAUAGUGCUCUUCGUUCCAUACAAGUAAUGUCUCCAGAUCUUCAGAGCAAACACCACUGCUCCUAGUUCAAGAUCGUGGGUCGUGUAGUUAACCUCGUGUGUCUUCAACUGUCUCGAGGCGUAGGCGAUGACCUUACCUCGCUGCAUCAGAACACAUCCGAGUCCUUGAUUUGAUGCAUCGCAAUAAACUACGAAGUCUUCUAUUCCUUCGGGAAGGGAUAGUAUUGGUGCGGUGCACAAGGCUCGUUUGAGCGUUUGGAACGCUCUUUCUUGUUUCUCUUCCCAGUCAAAGGCCACGCCUUUCUGGGUUAGGGUUGUAAGAGGUUUCGCUAUUCGAGAGAAGUUCUGAAUGAAUCUGCGGUAGUAGCCAGCGAGACCUAGAAAUUGACGAAUUUCUGUAGGCGUCUUCGGUGCUGACCAGUUCUCAAUGGCUUUAAUUUUGGAAGGGUCCACGUGGAUUCCCUCUUCACUUACCACGUUUCCCAAGAAUUUGACUCUUCGAAUCCAAAAUUCACAUUUUGAGAACUUUGCAUAAAGUUUCUCCUUUCGUAAAGUUUCUAGGACUUGUCGCAGAUGAUCGCCGUGUUCUUUCUUACUUCGGGAGUAGAUCAGGAUGUCGUCAAUGAAAACGAUGACGAACUGAUCCAAGUAAGGUCGGCAUACUCUAUUCAUCAAAUCCAUGAAGAAUGCGGGCGCAUUGGUCAAUCUGAAUGGCAUCACCACGAACUCGUAGUGUCCGUAACGAGUUCGGAAGGCUGUCUUCGGCACAUCCUCCUCUAGCACUCGUAACUGGUGAUAUCCGGAUCUCAGAUCAAUCUUGGAAAAAUAGCUCGCCCCUUGCAGUUGGUCGAAUAGAUCAUCUAUGCGUGGCAGUGGAUAACGAUUCUUGAUCGUCAAUUUGUUGAGUUCUCUGUAGUCAAUACACAUAUGGAAUGAUCCGUCUUUCUUCUUAACGAACAAGACCGGUGCUCCCCAAGGUGAGAAACUCGGUCUUAUAAAGCCCUUGCUGAGCAGUUCGUUAAGUUGACCAGAGAGUUCCUGCAUCUCAGCUGGUGCUAAGCGGUAGGGCGACUUGGCUACUGGGGUAGCUCCUGGGACUAAGUCGAUUCUGAACUCGACCUGUCGUUGCGGAGGUAACCCGGGUAGUUCUUCUGGGAAAAUGUCGGGGAAGUCGCUCACUACUGGGAUGUUCUUUAGUUCUUUCGUUUCUAGAUUUGUGUCGACGACGUGAGCAAGGAAUGCGUGGUAUUCUUUGCACAUGUAUUUCUAUGCUUGAAUACUCAAUAUAAUGCGAAGACUCGCACCAGGUUUGUCGCCGUAGACUAUAAGAGUUUCGUUAGACGGGAGGUUUAGACGGACUGCUUUCUCGUAGCACAUGAUGUCGGCGCGAUGAAGACUUAACCAAUCCAUGCCGAUAAUAACGUCGAAACUUUUUAUUGAGACCGGCAUAAGGUCGAUUGGGAAUGAAUGGUUAUCUAAGGUUAGAAGACAACCUAAGUAUAUGCUAUUAGUACUUUCAGUUUUCCCAUUGGCCAUUUCUACUGUGAAUUGUUCAUUAAGUGCGUGUGGUUGUUGCUUAAGCAUGCGAGCAAAUUUGUGGUUUACGAAGCUUCGCUCCGCUCCACUAUCGAACAGAAUGCAUGCAUAGGAGUUAUCAAGGAGGAACGUACCAGUCACCACUGUCGGGUCAGCAACUGCUUCCCCGUGGCCUAUUGCUAGUACCCUCCCUGCUCCUCCAGUAUUCCUCGCCUUAGGGCAGUCCCUUUUAAAGUGGCCUGUUUCGCCACAUCCAUAGCAAGUUGGGCUCACGCCAGAGCCAGGAACUUGGGAGAUCGGUUGCGCCGGGAACCUACAGAAUCGGACGGUGUGUCCUUUCCUGUGGCAGUUAGUACACUGCAUUUCACGGCAGGCGCCGUUGUGGUGGAAGUUGCAUUUGUUGCACUUCGGCAAACUUCCAGAAUACUGCUUCCCCGGAGCAGUAACAGCAGUAGGGGCUACCGCAGCAUGUACUGCUACGAUUUGCUGUUUCUUUGAAGCUCGCUGCUUCUUCUUCUCAUCCCAGAACUUCCGCUUGUUGCCAGCGGGUUUGGAGGGUUCUGGGAUGGCUUGGGUGGUUGUGGUUGCAGGGGUCUUGACUCCAUGGUCAAUAAGUCUUUGUGCCAAUCGCUUGGCACUGUCGAAGGUAGCAGGGUUGGAUGCUAAGACGUUCCCCUGGUACGGAGGCACUAGCCCCCAUACAUACCGCUCAAUCUUUUUCCCUUCAGUGGGAACCAUGUUGGGGCAUAGGGCCACCAGUUCGCUAAAGCGGGCAGUGUAAGCGAUCACGUUGGUGCCCUUCAUUGUCAGAUUCCAGAGUUCAUGUUCUAACUUCUGGACUUCGCCCCUAGGGCAGUAUUCCUCAGUCAUGAGGUCCUUCAUCGUUGCCCAGCCCAUGUCGUUAGCCACGACGAGAGUUAGGGCUUUGACGUGGCCGUUCCACCACGUUAGGGCUUUAUCCUCGAAGGUGCAUGCGGCAUAUUUCACUUUGAAUGCUGCAGGGCACGAACAGAUUUCGAAGACUGAUUCAGUCUUCUCGAACCAUUGCGAGAGAGCAAUGACUCCGCCGGUGCCAUAGAAAGGCUUCGGCUUGCAGUUUGUAAAAUCCUUGUAAGAGCACUCCCUCGAGCGCACAGGGAUUUCAACUGGGAUAGAUUCAACAGGGGUUCCACCUCUGCUAGCAUCCGAUGAGUGAUACUGAGCCAUGGCAGUUGCCACUGCUGCAGCUACGGCAGCAUUCAGGGCUGCAGUAUCGAUGACUGCAGGUGGUGGAGGCGGUGGAGGUACAGGAUUAUUCCUAUUUCUGGGAGACUUGCGAGGAGGCAUCCUUCAGCUAUAAGUUUAUAAAAACAAGAAGGAUGAUAAGAAUCAAUUUGUAAGCAAUGUGAGAGUGACCCAUGGACUAAUUACCCAUAGCCCAACAGUUGAAUGAGUGUUAGAAAUCACAAUAAGAAAUAUCAGUAGGAAUACACAAGUGUACAAAUUUUUCCCACAGAUUAGGUAGAUUUCAAUAGUACGGGUAUUACUGAUGUAAUAAGUUCAAGGAAAAUCGACCUAACAGUAGGUCUUACAUCAUACCAUAAGGACAAUACUGACAGUCCUAGAUUCCUAAUUAGAGUACCGAAAGUUAGGAAUAUUUUACAGACAAGUGCUACUUAGAGCACAUAAGUUCAAGGCUAUCCCUAAAUCAAAAGACAGAGAUGUACUAGACAUCAUCUAAUGGCGAUGGGAAUUCCUCGGGCGAUCCCUGAGGUCGGACACUUGGCGAAACACCUCUUGAAGGUGUCGGUCCUGAGCUCUCUGACGAGCUCGAAGUUCUAAGACUUCAGCACGGGAGGCAGCCAGCUGUUGCUGCAGAGUUUCGUUGGUUCUCCGGGUCCGUUCCAUGUCUUCUUCAAGACGGCGAAUGCGGACUGUAUUGACACCUGAAUUGGCAUCAAUCUCCAUGACCCGGUCGAUGGCUGCUCGACCUUGCUCGACAUUACGAGCUAUUCUGCGGAUGAUCACCGGCAGAGCUCUGUCAGCAGAGCCACCAUCGCUGAUGUUGUAGAAGGUUCGGUCCCCAAAGUAUGGUAAGGGCUGACCCUGCUCAUCACUCCAGCGAUUCAGAUUGUUUGCCCACAUGGGAGUAGGACCUGGAAACGCUGGUCGAGGGUUGUUGUUCGGGGCUUGACCUACAAGCGGUAGGUUGUUGACUUCAGGCUCGGAGUCAGAUCCAUCUGAAAAGCCUUCUGCGAGGUGAUCAUCCAAAGGGAUUGGAUGCUCAUCUUCGGGCUCUUCAUCGAUCCACCCGGCAUUGCCUUCAUUGGGAAAGUACGGGUCGCCAUGAUGGAAUCCAGCCAUUUAGAUCUACGCGAGAAGAGAGGUAUAAGAAUAUAGUAUACGUGUAACUAGUAGCACAAAAUACUCCUAUAGUAUUUUAAGUUUAAGUUCUACUGAUCUUCUUGUGGUAUUGUUGGUAAGUUUUUAGACUUGUUAACAUAUCACAACCAUUCUAGGGCAUAUGCUAAUCACUCCUAGGACCAGCAUAGUUGAUCAGGCUAUGCCAUUCCCAGGACUGACCAUACAUCCCCGAGCUCACUUGUGAUAUUCAACAAUCGUAAUACUUUUGUUCUUGUCAUUGUGACACUGAUUUUAGUAUGAAUGCAGACUAGUAUACUUAAUUAAAUAUUUUAUUAUUUAAAGUAUAGACUCUUGGUCAGAGUGUUUUAGUCCCUUUU
This 6224-nucleotide long non-coding RNA is filed under the name Lactuca sativa (garden lettuce). RNAcentral's name for it is "long non-coding RNA (LSAT_LNC000956)". Lineage: Eukaryota; Viridiplantae; Streptophyta; Magnoliopsida; Asterales; Asteraceae. The record is from RNAcentral.